GGAGUUGCUAGUAAUCGUAGAUCAGCAACGCUACGGUGAAUACGUUCCCGGGGCUUGUACACACCGCCCGUCACGUCACGAAAGUCGGUAACACCCAAAGUUAGUGGCCCAACCGCAAGGGGGGAGCUACCUAAGGUGGGAUCGGUGAUUGGGACGAAGUCGUAACAAGGUAGCCGUACCGGAAGGUGCGGCUGGAUCACCUCCUUUCUAAGGAG
RNAcentral lists this ribosomal RNA (215 nucleotides) under Actinobacteria bacterium BACL2 MAG-120820-bin50. RNAcentral's name for it is "partial 16S ribosomal RNA". It matches the Rfam family "Bacterial small subunit ribosomal RNA", at positions 1328 to 1533 of the family's 1533-position model. Lineage: Bacteria; Bacillati; Actinomycetota; Actinomycetes. The record is from RNAcentral.